This 421-nucleotide ribosomal RNA is filed under the name uncultured bacterium. RNAcentral's name for it is "bacterial SSU rRNA". It matches the Rfam family "Bacterial small subunit ribosomal RNA", at positions 28 to 450 of the family's 1533-position model. The record is from RNAcentral.
GACGAACGCUGGCGGCGUGCUUAACACAUGCAAGUCGAGCGGUAAGGCCCUUUCGGGGGUACACGAGCGGCGAACGGGUGAGUAACACGUGGGUGACCUGCCCUCAGCUCUGGGAUAAGCCUGGGAAACCGGGUCUAAUACUGGAUAUGACUCCAUGACGCAUGUUGUGGGGUGGAAAGCCUUGUGCGGCUGAGGAUGGGCCCGCGGCCUAUCAGCUUGUUGGCGGGGNGAUGGCCUACCAAGGCGACGACGGGUAGCCGGCCUGAGAGGAUGAUCAGCCACACUGGGACUGAGACACGGCCCAGACUCCUACGGGAGGCAGCAGUGGGGAAUAUUGGACAAUGGGCGAAAGCCUGAUCCAGCAAUGCCGCGUGUGUGAAGAAGGCCUGCGGGUUGUAAAGCACUUUCAGUGGGAAGAAAG